UACGGGGGGAGCAAGCGUUGUUCGGAUUUACUGGGCGUAAAGGGCGCGUAGGCGGUAGCACAAGUCAGUUGUGAAAUCUCCGGGCUUAACUCGGAAAGGUCAACUGAUACUGUGCGACUAGAGUGCAGAAGGGGCAACUGGAAUUCCUGGUGUAGCGGUGAAAUGCGCAGAUAUCAGGAGGAACACCAAUGGCGAAGGCAGCACUCUGGGACGUGACUGACGCUGAGACGCGAAAGCGUGGGGAGCAAACAGG
This 253-nucleotide ribosomal RNA is filed under the name uncultured bacterium. Its description in RNAcentral is "partial 16S ribosomal RNA". It matches the Rfam family "Bacterial small subunit ribosomal RNA", at positions 524 to 776 of the family's 1533-position model. The record is from RNAcentral.